CCUACGGGAGGCAGCAGUGGGGAAUAUUGCGCAAUGGGCGAAAGCCUGAAGCAGCGACGCCGCGUGGGGGAUGAAGGUUUUCGGAUUGUAAACCUCUGUCAGCAGGGAAGAAAGUGCAGGUAGCUAAUCAGCAGUGAAUUGACGGUACCGUCAAAGAAAGCACCGGAUAACUCCGGGCCAGCAGCUGCGGUAAUACGGAGGGUGCUAGAGAUAAUCGGAAUGGCUGGGCGUAAAGCGCGCGUAGGCGGUAUGUCAAGUCAAGGGUGAAAUCCCGGGGCUCAACGUCGGAACUGCCUUCGAAACUGGUAAGCUGGAGUGUGGGAGAGGAUAGUGGAAUUCCAGGUGUAGGGGUGAAAUCCGUAGAUAUCUGGAGGAACA
This 378-nucleotide ribosomal RNA is filed under the name uncultured bacterium. RNAcentral describes it as "partial 16S ribosomal RNA". It matches the Rfam family "Bacterial small subunit ribosomal RNA", at positions 338 to 708 of the family's 1533-position model. The record is from RNAcentral.